AUAACAUUUGGACUGUCUACCGAACAACUUCACCCGCCCGGUGGAAGAUCUUCCCUUUGUCGU
RNAcentral lists this microRNA precursor (63 nucleotides) under Bombyx mori (domestic silkworm). RNAcentral describes it as "mir-2774 microRNA precursor family". It matches the Rfam family "mir-2774 microRNA precursor family". Lineage: Eukaryota; Metazoa; Arthropoda; Insecta; Lepidoptera; Bombycidae. The record is from Rfam by way of RNAcentral.